AGAGUUUGAUCCUGGCUCAGGAUGAACGCUGGCGGCGUGCUUAACACAUGCAAGUCGAGCGAAAAUAAUUGAGAGCUUGCUUUUGAUUAUUUUAGCGGCGGACGGGUGAGUAACGUGUGGGUAACCUGCCUUUUACUGUGGAAUAAUCGUUGGAAACGACGACUAAUACCGCAUACGGUUCUUGGAAGGCAUCUUCUAAGAAAGAAAGGAGUAAUUCGGUAAAAGAUGGGCCCGCAUCUGAUUAGCUAGUUGGUGAGAUAACAGCCCACCAAGGCAACGAUCAGUAGCCGACCUGAGAGGGUGACCGGCCACAUUGGGACUGAGACACGGCCCAAACUCCUACGGGAGGCAGCAGUGGGGAAUAUUGCACAAUGGGGGAAACCCUGAUGCAGCAACGCCGCGUGAAGGAAGACGGUUUUCGGAUUGUAAACUUCUAUCAAUAGGGAAGAAAGAAAUGACGGUACCUAAAUAAGAAGCCCCGGCUAACUACGUG
RNAcentral lists this ribosomal RNA (493 nucleotides) under uncultured Eubacteriales bacterium. RNAcentral's name for it is "bacterial SSU rRNA". It matches the Rfam family "Bacterial small subunit ribosomal RNA", at positions 8 to 507 of the family's 1533-position model. Lineage: Bacteria; Bacillati; Bacillota; Clostridia; Eubacteriales. The record is from RNAcentral.